Molecule: ribosomal RNA, 419 nt
Filed under: uncultured rumen bacterium
Lineage: Bacteria
Description: bacterial SSU rRNA
Rfam family: Bacterial small subunit ribosomal RNA
Source: RNAcentral
GUGGGGGAUAUUGCACAAUGGAGGAAACUCUGAUGCAGCGACGCCGCGUGAGUGAAGAAGUAUUUCGGUAUGUAAAGCUCUAUCAGCAGGGAAGAAAGGCUCGUAAGAGAGAUGACGGUACCUGACUAAGAAGCCCCGGCUAACUACGUGCCAGCAGCCGCGGUAAUACGUAGGGGGCAAGCGUUAUCCGGAUUUACUGGGUGUAAAGGGAGCGCAGACGGUCAAGCAAGUCUGAAGUGAAACCCCACGGCUCAACCGUGGGCUUGCUUUGGAAACUGUUUGACUAGAGUACUGGAGAGGUAAGCGGAAUUCCUAGUGUAGCGGUGAAAUGCGUAGAUAUUAGGAGGAACAUCGGUGGCGAAGGCGGCUUACUGGACAGCAACUGACGUUGAGGCUCGAAGGCGUGGGGAGCAAACAGG